This is a non-coding RNA of Pelobates cultripes (western spadefoot toad), 93 nucleotides long. The record is from the annotation of a GenBank genome assembly. Lineage: Eukaryota; Metazoa; Chordata; Amphibia; Anura; Pelobatidae.
CUCCAGAUGUUGCUGAACUACAACUCCCAUGAUUCUUUGAAUGAAAGAGAUAACCAAAUAAUCAUGGGAAUUGUAGUUCGGCAACAUCUGGAG